AGAAAAGAGAGAAGUAUCAAAACACCUUGGAGCAAAGAAAAAAUGUCAUCAUGAGGAAUGCCAGAACUGUCAAUGUUAUCAAUUACCAGAUAUGUCAAAACUGAUCACUGCUGACCCAUCUCCCCACCAGCGACUUAUCAAUCUUAUUAAUCAAAGUAGACAACAACUUAACGAGGACUGUGAAAGGAAUGGCAAAGGUAACUGUGACCUGACCCUGGAUGAAAAUGCUAAAUACAGUUCAAGAGAGUCCUACAUCCAGGAAACGAC
Long non-coding RNA from Bufo gargarizans (Asiatic toad), 267 nucleotides. RefSeq lists it as uncharacterized. The record is from RefSeq and is a predicted model, not a curated record. The transcript has 3 exons. NCBI's taxonomy places the organism in Eukaryota, Metazoa, Chordata, Amphibia, Anura, Bufonidae.